UGCGCAAGCACGACAGGGUUUCCGAGUGGUUUCUGCUAAAGGAACCUUUUGUUAGUCCUAGAAACACUAACGAAUAAGGGGUGGGCAAGUUCUGGUGUCAGCCGCCGCGGUAAAACCAGCACCUCAAGUGGUCAGGAUGAUUAUUGGGCCUAAAGCAUCCGUAGCCGGCUCUGUAAGUUUUCGGUUAAAUCUGUACGCUCAACGUACAGGCUGCCGGGAAUACUGCAGAGCUAGGGAGUGGGAGAGGUAGACGGUACUCGGGAGGAAGUGGUAAAAUGCUUUGAUCUCUCGAUGACCACCUGUGGCGAAGGCGGUCUACCAGAACACGUCCGACGGUGAGGGAUGAAAGCUGGGGGAGCAAACCGGAUUAGAUACCCGGGUAGUCCCAGCUGUAAACUAUGCAAACUCAGUGAUGCAUUGGCUUGUGGCCAAUGCAGUAUUGCAGGGAAGCCGUUAAGUUUGCCGCCUGGGAAGUACGUACGCAAGUAUGAAACUUAAAGGAAUUGGCGGGGGAGCAC
This 518-nucleotide ribosomal RNA is filed under the name uncultured crenarchaeote. Its description in RNAcentral is "bacterial SSU rRNA". It matches the Rfam family "Archaeal small subunit ribosomal RNA", at positions 358 to 879 of the family's 1478-position model. Lineage: Archaea; Thermoproteati; Thermoproteota. The record is from RNAcentral.